Molecule: ribosomal RNA, 429 nt
Filed under: Bacteroidota bacterium
Lineage: Bacteria; Pseudomonadati; Bacteroidota
Description: Bacteroidetes bacterium partial 16S ribosomal RNA
Rfam family: Bacterial small subunit ribosomal RNA
Source: RNAcentral
UAGGGAAUCUUCCGCAAUGGACGCAAGUCUGACGGAGCAACGCCGCGUGAGUGAAGAAGGAUUUCGGUUCGUAAAACUCUGUUGUUAGAGAAGAACAGCGCAUAGAGUAACUGUUAUGCGUGUGACGGUAUCUAACCAGAAAGCCACGGCUAACUACGUGCCAGCAGCCGCGGUAAUACGUAGGUCCCGAGCGUUGUCCGGAUUUAUUGGGCGUAAAGCGAGCGCAGGCGGUCAAUUAAGUCUGAUGUGAAAGCCCCCGGCUCAACCGGGGAGGGUCAUUGGAAACUGGUUGACUUGAGUGCAGAAGAGGAGAGUGGAAUUCCAUGUGUAGCGGUGAAAUGCGUAGAUAUAUGGAGGAACACCAGUGGCGAAGGCGACUCUCUGGUCUGUAACUGACGCUGAGGUUCGAAAGCGUGGGUAGCAAACAGG